GUCGAGGGGUAUAGUUCUUCGGAACUAGAGACCGGCGCACGGGUGCGUAACGCGUAUGCAAUCUACCUUUUACAGGGGAAUAGCCCAGAGAAAUUUGGAUUAAUGCCCCAUAGUGUUAUAGAAUCGCAUGGUUUUAUAACUAAAGUUCCAACGGUAAAAGAUGAGCAUGCGUCCCAUUAGUUAGUUGGUAAGGUAACGGCUUACCAAGACAAUGAUGGGUAGGGGUCCUGAGAGGGAGAUCCCCCCACACUGGUACUGAGACACGGACCAGACUCCUACGGGAGGCAGCAGUGAGGAAUAUUGGACAAUGGGCGCAAGCCUGAUCCAGCCCAUGCCGCGUGCAGGAAGACGGUCCUAUGGAUUGUAAACUGCUUUGUACAGGAAGAAACACUCCCUCGUGAGGGAGCUUGACGGUACUGUAAGAAUAAGGAUCGGCUAACUCCGUG
RNAcentral lists this ribosomal RNA (446 nucleotides) under uncultured bacterium. Its description in RNAcentral is "bacterial SSU rRNA". It matches the Rfam family "Bacterial small subunit ribosomal RNA", at positions 61 to 507 of the family's 1533-position model. The record is from RNAcentral.